CGGAGGAUCCAAGCGUUAUCCGGAAUCAUUGGGUUUAAAGGGUCCGUAGGCGGUUUAGUAAGUCAGUGGUGAAAGCCCAUCGCUCAACGGUGGAACGGCCAUUGAUACUGCUAGACUUGAAUUAUUAGGAAGUAACUAGAAUAUGUAGUGUAGCGGUGAAAUGCUUAGAGAUUACAUGGAAUACCAAUUGCGAAGGCAGGUUACUACUAAUUGAUUGACGCUGAUGGACGAAAGCGUGGGUAGCGAACAGGAUUAGAUACCCUGGUAGUCCACGCCGUAAACGAUGGAUACUAGCUGUUGGGCGCAAGUUCAGUGGCUAAGCGAAAGUGAUAAGUAUCCCACCUGGGGAGUACGUUCGCAAGAAUG
RNAcentral lists this ribosomal RNA (366 nucleotides) under uncultured organism. RNAcentral describes it as "bacterial SSU rRNA". It matches the Rfam family "Bacterial small subunit ribosomal RNA", at positions 526 to 896 of the family's 1533-position model. The record is from RNAcentral.